UACGAAGGGGGCUAGCGUUGCUCGGAAUCACUGGGCGUAAAGCGCACGUAGGCGGCUUUCUAAGUCAGAGGUGAAAUCCUGGAGCUCAACUCCAGAACUGCCUUUGAUACUGGAAAGCUUGAGUUCGGGAGAGGUGAGUGGAACUCCGAGUGUAGAGGUGAAAUUCGUAGAUAUUCGGAAGAACACCAGUGGCGAAGGCGGCUCACUGGUCCGGUACUGACGCUGAGGUGCGAAAGCGUGGGGAGCAAACAGG
Molecule: ribosomal RNA, 253 nt
Filed under: uncultured bacterium
Lineage: Bacteria
Description: partial 16S ribosomal RNA
Rfam family: Bacterial small subunit ribosomal RNA
Source: RNAcentral